AAAUUGAAGAGUUUGAUCAUGGCUCAGAUUGAACGCUGGCGGCAGGCCUAACACAUGCAAGUCGAACGGUAACAGGAAGAAGCUUGCUUCUUUGCUGACGAGUGGCGGACGGGUGAGUAAUGUCUGGGAAACUGCCUGAUGGAGGGGGAUAACUACUGGAAACGGUAGCUAAUACCGCAUAACGUCGCAAGACCAAAGAGGGGGACCUUCGGGCCUCUUGCCAUCGGAUGUGCCCAGAUGGGAUUAGCUAGUAGGUGGGGUAACGGCUCACCUAGGCGACGAUCCCUAGCUGGUCUGAGAGGAUGACCAGCCACACUGGAACUGAGACACGGUCCAGACUCCUACGGGAGGCAGCAGUGGGGAAUAUUGCACAAUGGGCGCAAGCCUGAUGCAGCCAUGCCGCGUGUAUGAAGAAGGCCUUCGGGUUGUAAAGUACUUUCAGCGGGGAGGAAGGGAGUAAAGUUAAUACCUUUGCUCAUUGACGUUACCCGCAGAAGAAGCACCGGCUAACUCCGUGCCAGCAGCCGCGGUAAUACGGAGGGUGCAAGCGUUAAUCGGAAUUACUGGGCGUAAAGCGCACGCAGGCGGUUUGUUAAGUCAGAUGUGAAAUCCCCGGGCUCAACCUGGGAACUGCAUCUGAUACUGGCAAGCUUGAGUCUCGUAGAGGGGGGUAGAAUUCCAGGUGUAGCGGUGAAAUGCGUAGAUAUCGGGUGGAACACCGGUGGCGAAGGCGGCCCUCUGGGCCGAGACUGACGCUGAGGCGCGAAAGCGUGGGGAGCAAACAGGAUUAGAUACCCUGGUAGUCCACGCCGUAAACGAUGUCGACUUGGAGGUUGUGCCCUUGAGGCGUGGCUUCCGGAGCUAACGCGUUAAGUCGGCCGCAUGGGGAGUACGGCCGCAAGGUUAAAACUCAAAUGAAUUGACGGGGGCCCGCACAAGCGGUGGAGCAUGUGGUUUAAUUCGAUGCAACGCGAAGAACCUUACCUGGUCUUGACAUCCACGGAAGUUUUCAGAGAUGAGAAUGUGCCUUCGGGAACCGUGAGACAGGUGCUGCAUGGCUGUCGUCAGCUCGUGUUGUGAAAUGUUGGGUUAAGUCCCGCAACGAGCGCAACCCUUAUCCUUUGUUGCCAGCGGUCCGGCCGGGAACUCAAAGGAGACUGCCAGUGAUAAACUGGAGGAAGGUGGGGAUGACGUCAAGUCAUCAUGGCCCUUACGACCAGGGCUACACACGUGCUACAAUGGCGCAUACAAAGAGAAGCGACCUCGCGAGAGCAAGCGGACCUCAUAAAGUGCGUCGUAGUCCGGAUUGGAGUCUGCAACUCGACUCCAUGAAGUCGGAAUCGCUAGUAAUCGUGGAUCAGAAUGCCACGGUGAAUACGUUCCCGGGCCUUGUACACACCGCCCGUCACACCAUGGGAGUGGGUUGCAAAAGAAGUAGGUAGCUUAACCUUCGGGAGGGCGCUUACCACUUUGUGAUUCAUGACUGGGGUGAAGUCGUAACAAGGUAACCGUAGGGGAACCUGCGGUUGGAUCACCUCCUUACCUUAAAGAAGC
RNAcentral lists this ribosomal RNA (1554 nucleotides) under Escherichia coli. RNAcentral describes it as "bacterial SSU rRNA". It matches the Rfam family "Bacterial small subunit ribosomal RNA". Lineage: Bacteria; Pseudomonadati; Pseudomonadota; Gammaproteobacteria; Enterobacterales; Enterobacteriaceae. The record is from RNAcentral.